This 392-nucleotide ribosomal RNA is filed under the name uncultured bacterium. RNAcentral describes it as "partial 16S ribosomal RNA". It matches the Rfam family "Bacterial small subunit ribosomal RNA", at positions 523 to 918 of the family's 1533-position model. The record is from RNAcentral.
AUACGGAGGAUCCGAGCGUUAUCCGGAUUUAUUGGGUUUAAAGGGUGCGCAGGCGGCCAUUUAAGUCAGCGGUUAAAUCGUGGGGCUCAACCCCAUUCUGCCGUUGAUACUGGGUGGCUUGAUUGCGGUCGAGGUUGGCGGAAUUCGUUUUGUAGCGGUGAAAUGCAUAGAUAUGACGAAGAACACCGAUUGCGUAGGCAGCUGACCAGACCGCAAAUGACGCUCAUGCACGAAAGUGCGGGGAUCGAACAGGAUUAGAUACCCUGGUAGUCCGCACAGUAAACGAUGAAUACUUGUUUUCGGCGAUAUAAUGUCGGAGGCAAAGCGAAAGCGAUAAGUAUUCCACCUGGGGAGUACGCCGGCAACGGUGAAACUCAAAGGAAUUGACGGGG